This 983-nucleotide long non-coding RNA is filed under the name Phoenix dactylifera (date palm). RNAcentral describes it as "long non-coding RNA (PDAC_LNC008222)". The record is from RNAcentral. Lineage: Eukaryota; Viridiplantae; Streptophyta; Magnoliopsida; Arecales; Arecaceae.
GGGGCUGAUGAAGUGGGGGCUGGUGGGCUAGAAGGGGAUAGGUGGAGAGAGUGUUUGGGGGUGACGUCGCGGGUCAAGCACAGGUCAGCUGUGGGCGGCACGGACGAGCUGGCAACACUGCUAGCGUUGUGCGGGGGGGUGAGCACGGCCACGAGAGUGACGGGUGGUGGGGAGGAGCAGCCGCAGGGGUUUUUCCCUUUUUCCUGGUGAAAACCAAGAGGGAGGGAGAAAGGCACGAGGCGAGAGGGGAGGGGCUUGUUAAGCCUUUGCUUUUCUGUUGAAAACCGAGAAAGAGAAGAGAAAAGAACUGGAUCGGGGCUUUGGCAACAGGGGCAAAGUCGGCCUGCUAUGAUACCAAGCUGAUGGCGGACCACUGCAGGAAAGAGAGGAGGAAGAAGAAGAGAAAGAGAGGAGGAAGAAGAAGAGAAGAAGAGAAAGAGAGGAGGAAGAAGAAAGGAGGCUAGGGUUUAUUCAAUCAUUCAACUCCUAAUUCAUAAGAGGGAUGGCCUUUAUAUAGGCCUUACAUCAGGUCAAACAAUUGACGACAUAUCAAAAUUGGACCCUCAAUCAAUUGACUAAGUCAACCGAUUGAUUACAUACCAAAAUCGAUCCAAUCACUCGACCCAAUUACACGAUUUAACAGCUAACCCAAUUGACUUAACUAAAACAAAAGCAACUAACCAAACUGACUCGACCAAUAACAAAAACAACUAACCAAAUUGACUCGACCAAUAAUAAAAACAACUAAUUGACUCCAUCAUCUGAAUGAGGGGCUCUGAUGUCCCCAUCAUCAACCCUUUAUAGUCAAAUUUUGGUAAAUUAGAAAUUAUACCAAUGAUAAAGUAGCAUUACUUAACUUUGUUUAUUUUGUGGCAUUACAUUAUUGUACAAAGCAAGUGAGAAAGUAAACAAAAGCAGAUUAGCUAAGAAACAGCCUCCAGGUAACUACAGCCUCGCAGUCCAUAUAGCCAACUGAAACACCA